Long non-coding RNA from Folsomia candida, 668 nucleotides. RefSeq lists it as uncharacterized. NCBI's taxonomy places the organism in Eukaryota, Metazoa, Arthropoda, Collembola, Entomobryomorpha, Isotomidae. The transcript is spliced from 3 exons. The record is from RefSeq and is a predicted model, not a curated record.
CAAUAAACUCCAAAAUUAUACAGAAAACCUCGCACACACAGUAAUCAAUCAAUAACUGAAGCAAAUUUUAAAUAUUGGGAGAAAUAUAUUACUAAUUUCCGUCACCGAUUUAAAAAUUGUGAAAGUACAGGUUUUAAAAUAUAUCGAACCCAGAUGAAUCUCACACCAAGGAAGACGUUCGAAUGUCCAAAGUGCUUCAAAACGUACAAAUUCAAGUCGAAAUUUACCUCGCACCUCAUCAGACACGAACCCAAAGUGAAAUGCAAGAUAUGCGGAAAAAUUUCGAAAAACCCAGUCGCCUUGUCCAAGCAUAUCAGAAACCUUCACACUAAUCGGGAACGUCCUAGUUGCGCCCUUUGUCGCAGGGAGUUUCAUGACCCCGUCGCUUUACGGAAACACAUUAAAGUCAUCCACGGAACGAGUGAAAGACCCCGAUUGCCAUGUGGAUUUCUCGGUUGUGAGAAAACCUUCCUGGAUAAAUAUCAAGUUUCGCAACACGUAAUAACUGACCAUGCCGAGAACCGGUCCGAUAUCCGUGCACACUUUGUGGAAAAGAAUUCAAAACGAAAGGACACCUUGAGGGCCACAUUCCCACCCACACGACGGAGAAGCCGUUUAAGUGUACAAACUGUGGGAUUAGUUUCCCCAGCAGACGAAACCUUAAAGGU